GAUGUGGCUCAGUGGUAGAGUGCUUGCCUAGUGUGCAUGAGCCCUGGGUUUGAUCCUCAGCAUC
This 64-nucleotide transfer RNA is filed under the name Heterocephalus glaber (naked mole-rat). It matches the Rfam family "tRNA". From Rfam's summary of the family: Transfer RNA (tRNA) molecules are approximately 80 nucleotides in length. Lineage: Eukaryota; Metazoa; Chordata; Mammalia; Rodentia; Bathyergidae. The record is from Rfam by way of RNAcentral.